CAGAAGCCUCAAUCAGACUGUGUGAGAAAACUAAGGAUGCCCAUUACCUGUGGAGUGCUUAGCUUAGGCACAGUGAAGAUGGAAGGACUGAAUUUGAUGGCACGUCUCACCAUUAAAGGAUGGAGAGCAGAUUUCUCAAAUGACUCAGCUAAGGCACAUAGAGAGAGCUUUCUUUUGUACCUUGAUGCAAUGGAUGGAAUUAUGCCAAUAAGCAUGUCAAAUGCCUAGCAGUAAAUGUAAACCCUCUGCCUCUUACAGAAACCCAUUAAAAUGUGAAGAAUUUUAUUGCCCUUAGAAAUAGUCUUUGAUGGCCCUAAAGUCUCCUAGAAUUGCAUAUAAAGUUUCGCAAGAACCACCUUUAAAAAUUCUAAAAGCUGCCCCUCCAACUUCCAGCUAAAGAAACCAGAAUGCCAACUAAACACUAUCAAAUUGUAUCGCUUUACAAAAAAAAAAAAAAAAGUGAUUAGU
Bubalus bubalis (water buffalo) is the source of this 468-nucleotide long non-coding RNA. RefSeq lists it as uncharacterized. The transcript has 2 exons. Lineage: Eukaryota; Metazoa; Chordata; Mammalia; Artiodactyla; Bovidae. The record is from RefSeq and is a predicted model, not a curated record.